This 585-nucleotide ribosomal RNA is filed under the name uncultured bacterium. Its description in RNAcentral is "bacterial SSU rRNA". It matches the Rfam family "Bacterial small subunit ribosomal RNA", at positions 338 to 916 of the family's 1533-position model. The record is from RNAcentral.
CCUACGGGAGGCAGCAGUGGGGAAUUUUGGACAAUGGGCGCAAGCCUGAUCCAGCCAUGCCGCGUGUGGGAAGAAGGCCUUCGGGUUGUAAACCACUUUUGUCAGGGAAGAAACGGCUCUUACUAAUAUUAGGGGCUAAUGACGGUACCUGAAGAAUAAGCACCGGCUAACUACGUGCCAGCAGCCGCGGUAAUACGUAGGGUGCAAGCGUUAAUCGGAAUUACUGGGCGUAAAGCGUGCGCAGGCGGCUUUGCAAGACAGAUGUGAAAUCCCCGGGCUCAACCUGGGAACUGCAUUUGUGACUGCAUGGCUAGAGUACGGUAGAGGGGGAUGGAAUUCCGCGUGUAGCAGUGAAAUGCGUAGAUAUGCGGAGGAACACCGAUGGCGAAGGCAAUCCCCUGGACCUGUACUGACGCUCAUGCACGAAAGCGUGGGGAGCAAACAGGAUUAGAUACCCUGGUAGUCCACGCCCUAAACGAUGUCAACUGGUUGUUGGACGGCUUGCUGUUCAGUAACGAAGCUAACGCGUGAAGUUGACCGCCUGGGGAGUACGGCCGCAAGGUUGAAACUCAAAUGAAGUUGCGG